RNAcentral lists this ribosomal RNA (264 nucleotides) under uncultured bacterium. Its description in RNAcentral is "partial 16S ribosomal RNA". It matches the Rfam family "Bacterial small subunit ribosomal RNA", at positions 28 to 292 of the family's 1533-position model. The record is from RNAcentral.
GACGAACGCUGGCGGCGUGCUUAACACAUGCAAGUCGAGCGGUAAGGCCCUUUCGGGGGUACGACGAGCGGCGAACGGGUGAGUAACACGUGGGUGACCUGCCCUCAGCUCUGGGAUAAGCCUGGGAAACCGGGUCUAAUACUGGAUAUGACUCCAUGACGCAUGUUGUGGGGUGGAAAGCCUUGUGCGGCUGAGGAUGGGCCCGCGGCCUAUCAGCUUGUUGGUGGGGUGACGGCCUACCAAGGCGACGACGGGUAGCCGGCC